UACGUAGGGCGCAAGCGUUGUCCGGAAUUAUUGGGCGUAAAGAGCUCGCAGGCGGUUUGUCGCGUCUGUCGUGAAAGCCCACGGCUUAACUGCGGGUCUGCGGUGGAUACGGGCAGACUAGAGGCAGGUAGGGGAGAAUGGAAUUCCCGGUGUAGCGGUGAAAUGCGCAGAUAUCGGGAGGAACACCGGUGGCGAAGGCGGUUCUCUGGGCCUGUACUGACGCUGAGGAGCGAAAGCGUGGGGAGCGAACAGG
Molecule: ribosomal RNA, 253 nt
Filed under: uncultured bacterium
Lineage: Bacteria
Description: partial 16S ribosomal RNA
Rfam family: Bacterial small subunit ribosomal RNA
Source: RNAcentral